GACGAACGCUGGCGGCGUGCUUAACACAUGCAAGUCGAACGAUGAAGCUAGAGCUUGCUCUGGUGGAUUAGUGGCGAACGGGUGAGUAACACGUGAGUAACCUGCCCCGAACUCUGGGAUAACUGCUGGAAACGGUAGCUAAUACCGGAUAUGACCAAUGAAGGCAUCUUCUGUUGGUGGAAAGAAUUUCGGUUCGGGAUGGACUCGCGGCCUAUCAGCUUGUUGGUGAGGUAACGGCUCACCAAGGCGACGACGGGUAGCCGGCCUGAGAGGGUGAUCGGACACACUGGGACUGAGACACGGCCCAGACUCCUACGGGAGGCAGCAGUGGGGAAUAUUGCACAAUGGGCGCAAGCCUGAUGCAGCAACGCCGCGUGAGGGACGACGGCCUUCGGGUUGUAAGCCUCUUUUAGUAGGGAAGAAGCGAAAGUGACGGUACCUGCAGAAAAAGCACCGGCUAACUACGUGCCAGCCGCCGCCGUAA
RNAcentral lists this ribosomal RNA (484 nucleotides) under uncultured bacterium. Its description in RNAcentral is "partial 16S ribosomal RNA". It matches the Rfam family "Bacterial small subunit ribosomal RNA", at positions 28 to 523 of the family's 1533-position model. The record is from RNAcentral.